RNAcentral lists this long non-coding RNA (4445 nucleotides) under Sus scrofa (pig). Its description in RNAcentral is "lncRNA (ENSSSCG00040055721.1)". The record is from RNAcentral. Lineage: Eukaryota; Metazoa; Chordata; Mammalia; Artiodactyla; Suidae.
UUUUUUUGGCUUUUUAGGGUCACACAUGUGGCAUAUGGAAGUUCCCAGGCUAGGGGUGAAAUUGGAGCUGCAGCGUUGGCCUACACCACAGCCACAGCAAUGCAGGAUCCAAGCUACAUCUGUGACUCUACACCACAGCUCACAGCAAUAUCGGACCCUUAACCCGCUGAGCGGGGCCUGGGAUCAAACCCACAUCCUUAUGGAUACUAGUUGGGUUCAUUACCCCUGGGUCACAAUGGGAAUUCCAAGGGCUAACUCUUCAAUGCCCAAAGCUCCCUCUAUACCCAGCACUCUCCUCCUGCACCAUUUAGGCUUUAAGAAGCUGCUGCCAGAAGUGCUCGUCCCUGUCCCCCCAACUCCCUCAAGGCCUGCCACAGGAAGCUCAGGAGUGGAGGCCCCCAAGGCCAUGACCCUUCUAGUGCCACAUCCACUGAUUCAGAACAGUGAUGAUGAAGGAAGGUCUGGCUGUCCUGGGCACUGUCCCCUCCUGUCCCUCCUCCCAAAGGUAAACUAACACCCCCACCCCACCCCCAUGUUGAUCUCCACAUCAGGGACCACUUCCUUGGGAAUAACAACCUCGGACCAAUCUUCAUGCCACGUUCAAAAUACCUGACAACCAGCCUGAGGGAGCGGCACCCACCCCCCACCCCUGCUCUGCCAGGAGAGGAAUUGGAUGGAUGACAGGGGCAGGGGGACACAGGCUCUGUACCAGCCCCAAGGAAAGGAUUUCUAUGUCCUCCAACUGCUCAAAUGUGGGCCACGGCUGCACCCCCAGAGCCCCUGAGAGACGGGCUUGGUGAAGAACGGGUGGACAGAAAAAUGGAUGAACAGAGUAGGUGAGUGGGUGGUGGAUCCUCUGACGAGAAGCAGGUCAGGCAGGGAUGGUCACCCGCCAGCCCUGCCGACCUCUGAGCAGCGGCCACCUCCCAGCCUCCGGCUUAAGUUCCCUGUGCUCCAAGGCGGGAGGAGAAUGCAGCUCCCGACUCCAGGGAGAGGCUGGCCGGGUUUUAUUGCUUUUGUACAAAUUAUAGCUGCUCGGAAGUGGCCCAAGGAGCAGGGUAAUGGAUGUCAUAAACCUGCCUCAUAAAGACAGAGUUUGUGCCACAGGGCUGCACAGGGUGGCUUAGCAGAGGCCUGGAGCAAGUGGACAGCUCUGUGGUUCAGGGGCUAUGGGCACUGAGCUGCUAAUGGGGGUGUGUGGGUGGCAGGCAGGUCUCAGGACGGCUCAGGGCACCCCCGGCACCUGUCAGUCCUCCCAUGCUUCACUAAAGCUGAGUCCCCCACCAUGUGCUGCACCUCAUCUUUAACCUCCACUGUCCCCAGCUCCUGGGGGCAAAGCUGGCAGGUGACCUGCAUGCGACCACCCAGAUACCCUGCGCUCUGUACCCCACCACAGGGGGUCACCUGCUCUGCCCUCCUGAGCCCCAGACCUAGAGCUCCCAGAAGGCAGGGUUGUGCCCCUUCUGCCAGAGUGGGUGACAGUGGAGCCAGGAGCCACAAGGACCACUUCCAGGAGAAAGGGGUGGCGGGAGGCACACGCGUGUCAGCACACACGGCUGCAUGGCCUUCAGCCUCCAGGUAUGCCAAAUAGCUGCUGGGGCCAACGGGCUACUGCCCAGAGCUUUGGCUAGAGCUCGGCUGGCCUGGCCCAUCACUGUGCCAGACAGGGCCUGGCCCACGGCAGGUGCCUGGCAGAUGUUUGUGGGGUGAUAUUAGCGGUCACACGCGUGGGCAUGCUUGUGUCUCAGCAGAAGCUGCUAUGCCCAUCUGAGAAGCCUUUUGGGGCAGGCCUCUGUGCAGUGGCGUGUGUUUCCUGGGGCUGCCCAGUUGCCCGUGUCCCUCUCACAAAGUGCUGACUCUCACAGACAUGGGGUGGGGGGUCCAUAGCCCCUCCCUGUGAACUUCGGGGGCUCAUGACAAUAGAGGAUCAGGAAGCCAUGCCACACAACCUGGAGCCUCAGCCACAUCACUGCUACCGCGUCCUCCUGACUUGCUCUCAGGACCCUGAAAACCCGCCACCAUGCUGUGAGGAAGCCCAACCAGCCCACAAUGGGGAUGCCCACGUUGGGGGAGCUGAGGCCACCAACCAUGAGCUGGCAUCAAGCUCCAGACAGGGGAGUAAAGGAGACCUCUGUGACCCCCCCAGAUGUCAAGGUAGUUCCACAAGGAGCCUCGAACCCCACCCUGCCCCCUCAGACUUCCUCAGCAACUGAGGGGAAAGUCCACCCCUUGUUGUCAGCUCUGCCUGGGCCCUGCCAGCUGCUAGUUUUAGCUCUGCCCCACUGCCUGGGCUCUCAGGUGAAGGGACUGGCCAGGGGCACGCCCAGGCCGCAGCAGCCUCCCUCCACGGUCCUGUGGCAGGGCACCAGCUGGGCUCAGCCAUGUCUGACGGCACCCACUUGGGCCAGGAGCCUGAGGUGUGGAGGCCCUGGAGACCCAGGAGAUUAGCAGUCUAGCUGGGAAAUUAGCUGUCUGCGGCCCAACCAACAACUUAGAAUUCAUUUCCAGAAAUCCCCUGAAGGCAAUGAAGCCAAUCAGCUAAUUAUGCAAUGUGUGUGUGUGUGUGUGUGUUUGUGUGUGUGUGCGCUGCUCGCUGCUCUGCUGUGCAGAGUUACAGCCUCACCUCUGGUUCCUCACGCAUGUGGUGGCUCCCUCCCACCUCAGGGCCUCUGCAGGGCUACCCCCCACCCCCGCCAUGUCUGGGUGAGGUCUCUGGCCCCACCAUUUACACCAGCGUCCCCCUAAGCCCGCCUCUUUCUCAGCAGCACUCGCCACCUCCACGGAGGACGCUACUUGUUUGUUUUACUCAGCACCUUCUCUCCCAGACCCAGAGGCCCUGGGCACAGGGACAGAGGCAGGGAUGCUGGCUUUGCCUCCUCUCCAGCAGGGCUGACCACAGCAGGGCAGAUGCUCAAUCCAGGUUUGACGAAGGGAGGAAAGAAGAGAUGCAUUUGGAUGUGCCUAAGCCAAGGAGAGGGUGGGGGCUCAGCUGAGACCCAUCCCAGCAAUUGAGAGGGGGUGGGCUCAGAGGUGCUCUGAGGCCUACAGCCAAGUGGGCGCUGUUGCCGAGGGCUGGGGAGGGGUCAGGUGGGUGCUGAGGAGCCUGUGGAGGGUGGUGCUGGGUGGAAGAGGUUGGCAGGGACAAAGGGGCAUGUCAGGAGCAGGGCCAGCCUUCCCGCCUGGGGCUUGGCUAGGAGUACAUCCCUGAGCAGAGGCCCCUCCUGAUGGAGGGCGCCUGUGGCAGUCUCUCAGGUCCAAGGGCUUCAGUGUCCUCAUCCAGAGGGUGGGCAGCCAUCACCAUGGUGGCAAUGACCACCUUGGGGACAGCUGUGAGGACCCCUACCCAGGUCAUCGCAGGCCGGUCCCCUGAGAACUGCUUUGGUGUCAUGGCCGGCAUCACUGCUGCUGCUCUGUGUCCUCUGCUCCUGUCCCCAGGCAGCCACUCAGCACACGUGGGGUGGGGGCAGGGCCGGCUCCCCGCCUCGGCAGGCGUCUCCAUUCUCAUUUCUCUUUAAUAAAGAAAACUCCCGAGUCCCCUGCUUCGGCAGGAGAUGAAUCCUCAUGUCCUUGGUUGCAAGCAGCCAAAUUAAGAAAAUUACUUUCUAACUAAUUUUCUUGCGCUAACGAACAUCUGAUGGCGGGCUGGGGAGGCUGCACCAAGCUUUCGGGACAGACGCUUUUGAGGAUGAGCAAUAAUUGGGGAUUUGCUGGGGAUAAAUCUCAGCAAAUUAAACCCCUUCAAGUACGCCUAUAAACCAGGUCAGAUGACAAACGCCUCAUGUCGCUGAGCAAGUGCAGGGACGCUGUUGGGAGAAGCAAGGAUAAGCAUAACCCCUGCUGGGCCGGAGGACCCAAGCGCAGACAUGCACAGGCGGCAAGGGGCACACAGGCUGACACCUACACACAAAGCCAUGUAGCCACAGGUCACAUCAAGAUACCCACGGCAGAAUCACCGUCACACACCUACAGAGGUACCCGGAAGAAACAUGUAAUGCUUCCCAUGCAGGCGCGCAGCCCCGCCAUGGCCGCACAGGGACACCACCUCUCGGACACAGGCAUGUGACAGACACAUGUCAACACUCAGGGGUACACACAUUCCCCUUUCACUGAAAGCCACAAACACCCGAGCUGUCUGAGGGCUCUACCGUCAAGUCAGAGGCAGGAUGGCAGCCGCCCUGAGCUGCCCCUAGCCGCAAGCCUGUCUGCUGGCAAGCGUCCUCUGGACUCAUUCCCACUCCUCCAGCCACAGGGGCAGCCCCACUUGCCACCAUGUCAACUAGACAAGAGGGCCACCAGGGUUGGUUGACCCUGUGUGCCCUGAAGUGCCGGCCGGCACAUGUCAGGGACCAGCAGACACACCUGCUCGCACCAGGGCCUGGUGCACACACACAGGCUGCCUGCAGACACGGUUCAGGAGCCCCCCAUAGCUGAGCAGCAGGCGGGGC